RNAcentral lists this ribosomal RNA (254 nucleotides) under uncultured bacterium. Its description in RNAcentral is "partial 16S ribosomal RNA". It matches the Rfam family "Bacterial small subunit ribosomal RNA", at positions 524 to 776 of the family's 1533-position model. The record is from RNAcentral.
UACGUAGGCAGCAAGCGUUGUUCGGAGUUACUGGGCGUAAAGGGUGCGUAGGCGGUUGUUUAAGUUUGGUGUGAAAUCUCCCGGCUCAACUGGGAGGGUGCGCCGAAUACUGAAUGACUAGAGUGCGGGAGAGGAUAGUGGAAUUCCUGGUGUAGCGGUGAAAUGCGUAGAUAUCAGGAGGAACACCGGUGGUGUAGACGGCUAUCUGGACCGUAACUGACGCUGAGGCACGAAAAGCGUGGGUAGCAAACAGG